This is a long non-coding RNA of Thalassophryne amazonica, 93 nucleotides long. RefSeq lists it as uncharacterized. The transcript is spliced from 3 exons. Lineage: Eukaryota; Metazoa; Chordata; Actinopteri; Batrachoidiformes; Batrachoididae. The record is from RefSeq and is a predicted model, not a curated record.
CAAGGUGUUAGUGUGUUUGUUUCCAGAGCAGAAUAUUCCCGGUUCCAGACCACUUCUACCCAUUCUCCAUGCAAUGCUGUACUGAGUGAGGAA